UUAAUUAUUAUUUUAUGAAGUUCAGAAGACAAAUUUCUAAUGAGUUUGAGAAAACUUCUGCCGGCCGAAACCGGCAAAGAAACAAAUUAAUUAAGUCAAAGGGUUGAAGUUUGGGCGCUGGAUCAGCACCCUAAACUAGUAAUGAUCCUUCCGCAGGUUCACCUACGGAAA
This 171-nucleotide unclassified non-coding RNA is filed under the name uncultured fungus. RNAcentral describes it as "sequence contains ITS1". The record is from RNAcentral. Lineage: Eukaryota; Fungi.